RNA transcript from Grammomys surdaster, 1581 nucleotides. It is a transcript of the gene named ATPase H+ transporting V1 subunit D, with no coding region annotated. The record is from RefSeq and is a predicted model, not a curated record. The transcript is spliced from 10 exons. Lineage: Eukaryota; Metazoa; Chordata; Mammalia; Rodentia; Muridae.
UAGCAACGCAAGGGGUCAAGUGACACCAUCAGCUGACUCCGGUGGAGGAAGGCUCUGUGGUUACCUGUUCUGGAGGUGUUGCAGUCCGGAUUGUCCGGCCGGGGGCCCGAGCCGAAUCGCCGUCAGAAUGUCGGGCAAAGACCGGAUUGAAAUCUUCCCUUCGCGAAUGGCACAGACCAUCAUGAAGGCUCGAUUAAAAGGAGCACAGACUGGUCGAAACCUCCUGAAGAAAAAGUCUGAUGCCUUAACUCUUCGAUUUCGACAGAUCCUGAAGAAGAUAAUAGAGACUAAAAUGCUGAUGGGUGAAGUGAUGAGAGAAGCUGCCUUCUCAUUGGCUGAGGCCAAAUUCACAGCAGGGGACUUCAGCACCACAGUUAUCCAGAAUGUAAAUAAAGCCCAGGUGAAGAUUCGAGCAAAGAAAGACAAUGUAGCAGGUGUUACCUUACCAGUGUUUGAACAUUACCACGAAGGAACUGACAGCUAUGAACUGACCGGUUUAGCCAGAGGUGGGGAGCAGCUGGCUAAACUAAAGCGGAAUUAUGCCAAAGCAGUGGAACUACUGGUGGAACUGGCUUCCCUGCAGACUUCCUUUGUUACUUUGGAUGAAGCCAUUAAGAUAACCAACAGGCGUGUGAAUGCCAUUGAGCAUGUAAUCAUUCCCCGGAUUGAACGCACCCUUGCCUAUAUCAUCACAGAACUGGAUGAGAGAGAGCGAGAAGAAUUCUAUAGGUUAAAGAAAAUACAGGAGAAAAAAAAGAUUAUCAAGGAAAAAUUUGAGAAGGACUUGGAGCGUCGGAGAGCAGCUGGAGAGGUGAUGGAGCCUGCCAACCUGCUGGCUGAAGAGAAGGAUGAGGACCUGCUGUUCGAGUAGCUGCCCUCUUCUGCUCCUUUGAGACCCAGCAUCAGCUCCAUUUUAACUCAAUGUGUAGGUUCGAUCAUGUGGGAACACAAGGAGAAGAAAAGCAAAACAAGGUUUGGGUGGAAAAGAAGCACUCAAUUCUGGAACCUUGCAAAUGUCGAGCAGCUAAUGAGAGAAGUUUGCUGAGACCUUUGGAGUAGGGAGGAGGCGGCCCUGUCAGGUGUGUUUGGAGAGUAAAGGGGGUUAAGGCGUUCUGGAGGGGCUCAUCAAUCUGAGGUUAGCAGUAAGAGAUGUUUGGGGAAGACAGGAGCAGUCCUGUAAUAUGGAGAGCUGCCAUGGUUCAGCCAGCUGCAGCUGUGGCAGUUUUGGGACAAGUGACAGAAAGAAUAAUCAGCUUGAUGGCUGAUGCUGUACAGCUUCAAAGCUCCAGCAGCGGGAGCAGGGGAGGGCAGAGGCUUGCUUGAUGUCAGUGAUGACCUAGCACUAUGACAAGGGUACCUUUGGGUUCUUGCCUUCCUUGGCUAACAACGCCCGAAGUCUCUCUUGUGAAGGUGGUGCAAUGAAGAUGAUAUAUGGUUUCAAAUCUGAAUUCCGGAGGGUCUUCAAGGACUGUAACAAGGAUAUUUGGGUUAUUGAAAUAACUGCUAUCAUCAGACUACUUCUCAAUAAUAUAGAUUGCUAAGAUGUUUAUAAAUAAAUGUUUCCAAGCAUUUCAUCAUAAA